ACUAGGGUUAAGAAAACGCCAUCAUUAGGUGAUGGUUAGGUCCCAGGUUUCUGGGAAUUAAUUCAAUGAACCCCCCUGGAGCAAGCACAAAGGCGACAGGGGACAAGGAACAACUCUAUGUUAACAUGAAGAAACAUUUAGCCGAAACUUAAGCACAAAGGCGACAGAGGCAAGGAUCAACUCUAUGUUAACAUGAAGAAACAUUUAGCCGAAACUUAAGCACAAAGGGGGGGCCCAUCCGCUUGGAGCCAGCUGGGUAGAGAGGUGGAGAUAUUAGGGGGAGUAGAAAAUGAGGGGUUAUACUGCAACUGACCAAUCCCUUGGUAAAUAUAACCUUUCGUUACAAAAUGUCCAUUCAAAUUAGGGUUCGCCUAUAGCAAGUAAGCUUUACAAAAUAAGUCCUAAUAAGCGGUGGGUGGAGACUAGUGGCACAAGCAAACACUCUGUCUAUGUGAUUGGCCAUGUCUCU
Molecule: long non-coding RNA, 469 nt
Organism: Clupea harengus (Atlantic herring)
Lineage: Eukaryota; Metazoa; Chordata; Actinopteri; Clupeiformes; Clupeidae
Source: Ensembl